Molecule: long non-coding RNA, 917 nt
Organism: Sphaeramia orbicularis (orbiculate cardinalfish)
Lineage: Eukaryota; Metazoa; Chordata; Actinopteri; Kurtiformes; Apogonidae
Exons: 2
Source: RefSeq, a predicted model, not a curated record
GCGACCGGUCCCUCCAGGACCUCACUGGAUUAUUUGGGAUUGUUGGGGCCUGAAAUGUCUGAUUUCACUGUAGUGUUUCUGAAAACUAGUGACGCAUCUUGUUUUUAGGUGUUUUAUCUUUGCAGUGAAAUUGUGGGACCAGCUGAAAAUUGCAAAAAAUAAUCAAAUGCAAGUUCCAACCUUGCAAUCAAAGUGAUCAAAUACUAAAUUGCACAGGAUGUUGAUAGAUGUCAACACUGAUAUCCUUUUAGUCUUUUCAGAAUCAUGACAAAAUAAAAGUAUGAAAAACAUUGGUCAAAUUUGACUGAAGUAUAACUGUGAUUGGAUAAAGUUGUAACAUCUCAUCUUCCUGGAGGGACUGGAUUAUUUUUAUGUCCACAAAAUAUUCUGCUUUUAUGUUUUUAUUCUGAAAAGACAAUAUUCCAACCAAGUUGUUUCCAGGGUUGAUGAAAAUGACUUCCUGCCGGGUUUAGGGUUUAUCUCCAGGAGGCUUUUUGUCCACCUGGAGCUCAUACACGUCAACCAAAUAUCUAAAUGGACAUUUUCUAGAGGGCGCUGUGGAGCCAUUUUUCCACCCAUAAAUGUAACAUUUUUCCAUCUCUGAUGUUUUGUAAGUUUUCUGGGUUUUUGAGCAUGUUUGGGAUGUUUAACAUGUCCACAUGCGCUCCUGAAACUACAGUAAUAUCCACCUUUUGUUCAGAAUCAGCUGUUUACACAAAACCUGUAUCAGAUUCAGACUAUGGUCAAAUGUGGAGUAAUAGUGGAAUAUUAGUGUGCAUGUAAACGUAGUGAGUAAGGUGAAUAUUCUGUCUGCAGUUUUUAAGAAGUUCACAAAACUGUUACAUCAGAACCAGAGUCUGUUAAAAACCUGGACUAUCUCUGACGCUUUAGGCCUCGUCCACACUGAUGCAGAUGUU